This is a long non-coding RNA of Dromaius novaehollandiae (emu), 3664 nucleotides long. RefSeq lists it as uncharacterized. The transcript has 2 exons. NCBI's taxonomy places the organism in Eukaryota, Metazoa, Chordata, Aves, Casuariiformes, Dromaiidae. The record is from RefSeq and is a predicted model, not a curated record.
UAAACCCCAUCUCUCCUUACUCUUUUGAGAAGUACAGCUAAUUGCUGAGAUAAAGCUCCAUUUGUGUUUUUUACCUGACAAAAUGAUUGCCAUCUUUUGUUUUGCCGUAAGCCCCUGCCUGAAUUCUCGUGGGCCUUUCUUUACUUCAGGGCACUUUGGGUCGAGCUCAAGCUCUAACCUUAGUUUAUGGUGAAUUUCUUCAUUAUAUGUUUCCUUUCUUUUGUUCAAGGCUAUUAACAUAUUAACUGCCAUGUUCUCAUUUCAGAGAUGGCUAUACGGUUCCUGGUGGCCCCCAUUUCAACGACAUUUUGACCCAGGAUCAUUCUGGGCCGCGUUCAGCCCCCAUGGCACCCACCUGGCUGCAGGAUAUAGCCCUAAGAUAAACGCAGAUUUGAAUUCCCUAGCGUCUUCCCACUGGAGAUCCUGACGUGUUUCACAGACAGGGAUAUAUUCAGCUCACAAACGGCCUGGGGAUAGGGUUAGUGAACAAGAGAAUAAGGACUCUUGGCGGUGCUGAUGUAAGCUUCAACCACGACUAAGCACAGCUUAUUUUGAGGCUUGAAAAAGUUUGGUUCCUCGUUUGCCAUUAUCUUUGCUCCUCUGCUGUUUCGCCUGCCUGCUCGCAGUGGGCUAAUUCGGAGCACGGGAGCUCCAUGUUUUGCAAUACAACCUGAAGGAGGAGCGGCACAAAACUACCCGUUCUUGUGAAAUUUUCGGUCUACCCCUGUUGACCCAGGAUAUUUAAGCAACUCAAACAGGCAGCUGCACUUCACAAGGGCAAAAUAAAUUGAGUCCAAACUCCACAGCGUUUUCUAUUCCCCUAUGAGUGGCUUUCUUCAGUGUUUGUGAGUCCUUCACAUUUUAGCUUUGUAUGUUAGAAACCCUGUCUUCUGGCAGUUUAUCAGGUGUCUCCACUAUUAGUUUCAAAAUAGAUAUUAAAUACCGCUUUUGCACCUUGUAGCUGCAAAGAUUUUCAGAUGUAUUGAACAGCUUUUCUGCUCUUCAGCCGUCAAAGAUUAUACACUGAGAAUAAAUUACUCAGCUGGGUGCAUUGUUUGUAGGCAAACGCAGUACGUGACAGUAUCAGUAGUCCCUGUGUUUAAAAGCAUGUAAAACACUUUCUCUUCUUCUGUGCUUUCCAUUGCGAUUCUGGAAACAUUGGCUCAGCUAAGUUCUCCGCCCAAACAAGCUCUGGUUGCUGGCAAAGACGUCUGAGGUCUCAGCGUUGUCAGCCCAACUUCUAAUCCUUCAUGCAGAGGAUGAGGCCAGACCUGCGCCAGAUUUUGGACAUGAUGACGUGUUGGGGGGCUGCAGAGCUGCUGAAGGAGGCUGAGCUCCUCCUCGCCGUCUCCCCGUGCAGGACCCCUGCAGCGCUCCAGCCCGGGCCCCGGCGUGGUCCCGCUGUGCUGCGUUGGCAGCACACAUGUUUUCAUGGGAGCAGAUCACUCUCGCCGCUGUCUGGCACCGGCGAGUGAGCCUCGCUGGGGUGCAAGUGCUCUGUCUCAUCUCAGUCCUCUGUCAACAUCUGGCCGACAGCCCGCUGCUAGUCGGACAUAGCUGGACAAGCAAUUCCCUCAUUUCUCCAGAACGUGGAUACCAUUUGAAAGGCCUCUUGCUUCCAUCAGGACUGGCUUCCAGCUGGACUCUUCUGGGGUUUUUUUCUUUUUUCUUUUUCUUUUUUUUUUUUUUAAGAAAAGAUGUGCUUGGUGGGUAUUGAUAAACAUUUGCAGCAUCAGUCAGUUUUCUGAGGUUUGCCUAGCUUAUUUCAUCUCCUUUAUCUAAGUUUCUUAUUACAAGACUUAAUUUCCAAUGUUUCCCACUGCAUCAGUGUACCACAUCCUUCGAGGACAGCAUCACAUUUCCCCAGACUUGCUGACUUGUAUAAGAAUGUAUUCACAGACCUUUCACCAAACUAGAAACCAGACUAGAACUUGUUUUACUAAUUAUAUUUCCUUCCCACAACCCAUGCUUCUUAAAAUGUAUUCAUAAAACUGUUAAUGAACAGUGAAUUUGGCCUUAAAAUUGUAAUCAAUUUAAUCAAGAGCUGAAAUUUAUUUGGAACCUAAGCAGCAAUAGUUCAUAAGUACUAAACCAGCCUGUUGAGGACCAAAAAUGGUAUCUGAAUUGACAUUACUGGUCACAAAAUAUCUCGUAUAUCUUUAGCCAGUUAAAAUUUAGGCUCUAGGUCUGCAAGGGUAUAGGUAACAGAAAGAGAGAGGUACUUCCAAAGGGAAUUCACUCCUUCCUCAUCCUCAUAGGAUGAAGCACCUUUCUGAGAUACCCAUUUCCCUCCAUCUGACAAUGGAAGGAGCCCAGAAGAAUAAUUUAGGUAUACCCCUAAAUCUCAGCUAGCUACAGCAAAUAUCUUGCUAUGGACGACUGACAAAUAAUCCCUAAUUCAAAUAUGUUUGCAGAAACAAUUUGUCUAACCAUUUUGACAGAAUAAAUUUGAAGGGAAAAAAAAUCUGCUUGCAGAAAAACUGCAAGCAUAAAAGAUGACUAAAUUCCUUUAAUUAAAAAAUCAGUGUAAAUAGUGCUCUUGCUGAUAUUAAGUAUGUUUGUGAAGCAGAAAUAGUUUAAAUCAAACCUUACAUAUUAUAAAUACAGGGAUAGGCUUCUCACUGUGCAUAUGAUGCCUUCAUUAUUGCUAAAUGUAAUGCUGAUCUGUGUUCAUCUUUGACUAGCAAGGAUUGGAGACCUUUUUUUUUAAUUUUUGUUCUUAGAGUCAAGAAACAAGGCUUUUCUUCUCCUGUUUUGCUUUAUUUCUGGAUAUUUCACGAGCCCUUUGGAUUCUCUUGAUUCUGCCUGAUAUACAUGACAAUCUUGCAGGGUAAACUAGGGAUAGAUGUUGCAUGCUCAUUUGUUCUUGUCCUCUCAUAUAAUAGCUCUCUUCCCCAGUUAUUUUAUCAUCUGCUCCAGAUUAGAAGCAGGAACGACUGUCUGACACGACAUGCUGCACUUUGUCUGGUAGAUCAGCAUACAGAUAAGAAAACUCAUUUUCUUCCCAAAAAAAGUUUUCUCUCUGUAGGCUGCUUUCCGAAUUUCUUCAGGACACAAACUCUUCUUCUAGGUCUUUCGUGUCUGCACUGCUCAAUGGUAACUACAGCUUCUUGGAGAGGGCUCACAGCAUUUUAAGGGAAAGAAAUGCAACUAUCCGCUGAUAGUUUGCCCUGAUCUAGUUGUUGCCCUUGUAGUUGAGCCGAAGUAGAGACCCAGUAUUCCAUCUCUGUCAUGCAAAUGCCUUAACUUGUCUCAGAUUUAAAGGAAAGGGAGACCCAUGAUAGGAUUGUGGCUUCAGCAUUCAGUAUCAGUUUGUUCUGACUAAUAUGAAUAUUGGAGAUGUAAGGAGUGAAAUCCCUCGAAAUAAAGAUAGUCAAGAAGAGAGACUCCCAAGAGAUGUUUCAAAAAUAGUUGCUUUCAUUUUUAUUAGCAAAGUACAGAAGCAAAGGGGAAAAACAAGUUUAGAAAAAUCAUUCAGUUCCUUAAACACUUUUGAGAAACUUGCUAAGAGAGUCCUAACCUUUAACUACAGAGUAUAGUUUAAGAUAUUUUGAAAUAGUACAUGGCAGAACAAAUUCUCUUUCCCAUACUAAUGGCUGUCUCUGUCUGUCUGUCAGCUCAGAGUUCAAUCACGUAUUCACAAUAAAGUAUGGGUCAAGUCCGA